CACCACAUGGCUAGAAGUCAAUCCAUCCUCUAGCGUAACCAUCCUCCAUGCUACUGUCCCUGGGGCACUGAGGCCCUCCUCAGUGACUUCCUCCACCUCAUCUUCCGCCAUCUCCAAGCCACCAGUGUCCAAUGGACUACUGAUAUGUCCCAAACUCAUCAUUUGUUUAUUCACCAAUUCAGAGCCCACCUUUUUUUCAGCACUGAGCUAGCCUCUCCUUGCUAGAAGCUUACGGUCGAAGGUCUCCAGCCAUCAGAAGAAGCACAUGGAGCGUUGCAUCCGUGUUGUGGUUAUUCAUCCAGCAUGCGUUGAGGAAGAAAAGUCAGAAGACCAGGACCUCCAGGGCCUCAAGGACAAACCCCUCAAGUUUAAAAAGGUGAAGAAAGAUAAGAAAGAAGAGAAAGAGGGCAAGCAUGAGCCCGUGCAGCCGUCAGCC
This 436-nucleotide small RNA is filed under the name Pongo abelii (Sumatran orangutan). RNAcentral's name for it is "retained intron". Lineage: Eukaryota; Metazoa; Chordata; Mammalia; Primates; Hominidae. The record is from RNAcentral.